AACCAUUUUGUGUCAGCCGCCGCGGUAAUACGAAGGGGGCUAGCGUUGCUCGGAAUUACUGGGCGUAAAGGGAGCGGUAGGCGGACUGUUUAGAUCAGAGGUGAAAGCCCAGGGCUCAACCUGUGGAAUUGCCUUUGAUACUGGCAGUCUUGAGUACGGAAGAGGUAUGUGGAACUCCGAGUGUAGAGGUGAAAUUCGUAGAUAUUCGGAAGAACACCAGUGGCGAAGGCGACAUMCUGGUCCGUUACUGACGCUGAGGCUCGAAAGCGUGGGGAGCAAACAGGAUUAGAUACCCUGGUAGUCCACGCUGUAAACGAUGASUGCUAGUUGUCGGCAGGCAUGCCUGUCGGUGACRCAGCUAACGCAUUAAGCACUCCGCCUGGGGAGUACGGUCGCAAGAUUAAAACUCAAAUG
This 414-nucleotide ribosomal RNA is filed under the name Caulobacter sp. SR-C13. Its description in RNAcentral is "bacterial SSU rRNA". It matches the Rfam family "Bacterial small subunit ribosomal RNA", at positions 496 to 907 of the family's 1533-position model. The record is from RNAcentral. Lineage: Bacteria; Pseudomonadati; Pseudomonadota; Alphaproteobacteria; Caulobacterales; Caulobacteraceae.